AUUUUGCGAAAUAAUAGGUUGGAUGGAGAAUUGCCUGAGUCUUUAAGAAAUUGCACCAACCUUGGUUUUGUCGAUUUUGGUUUGAACGGCCUAUCUGGAACUGUGCCGGCAUGGAUUGGGCAAGAUCUACCGCAGUUGUAUGGUCUAGUUUUGAAAUCCAACAAAUUUUAUGGGAGCCUGCCUGAUGAUCUGUGUCAUCUCUCAGAUCUUCAUUUUCUAGACCUGUCCAUGAACAGACUUUCAGGAAAUGUCCCUCAAUGCUUCAGCAGUCUGAUUGCUAUGACUAAUCAUAGAACUAAAACAACAGAUCAUCACAAAGCAUCUCUAUAUCGUAGAAAAUGUUCAGAAAUAACCUAUUGUACGAGCAAUAUUGAUGAUGGUGUUUCAUUUCUGGAUGAAGCAUUGGCAGGUUGGAAAGGAAAGGAACGAGAAUACAGGGGAAAUUUCCCUUACCUUAAGAUGAUAGAUCUUUCCAGCAACAAAUUUACUGGAGGAUUUCCUGCUGGAAUAACAAGGCUUGUCGAUCUCAAAGGAUUGAACCUCUCGAGGAAUCAGUUUGAUGGAAAAGUUCCGGUACAAAUUGGUAGACUACUUCAAUUGGAAGUUCUUGAUCUGUCUGGUAACAAAUUUUCAGGUGAUAUCCCUCGAAAUAUGUCUGAUUUAACCUUUCUUGCUUAUUUAGAUCUCUCGACCAAUAACUUAUCUGGAAGAAUCCCAUUAGAAGUUCAACUCCAGACAUUCAAUUCUUCAAUGUAUGAGGGGAAUCCUGGACUCUGUGGCUUGCCACUCACAAAAAGAUGUCCUGGAGAUAAAACAAGUGUCAAAGUCCCCCCACCAUCUACUGGAAAUGAAGUUGAUGAAGACGAGAUUUUAUAUGAGAGAUGGUUAUAUAUAAGUGCAGCUCUUGGUUUCAGCACUAGUUUUUGGGGAAUAUGUGUAACUCUACUUGUUAACAGGCGCUGGAGACAUGCAUAUUUCCUGUUCUUGACGAACUUAAAGGAUCAGUUUUAUGUGUUCAUGGUAGUGCGCAUUGCCAGAUUGAAGGUAAGGCUCCAAGGUUGACUUGAAGGUAAUAUAGACACUUCUUUGCUCUGAUUAUUUUUUUUUAUUUAAGACCAGCAAAGUAUUCACUACGAAAAGGCCAUUUUCUUUAACUUGUGUUAACCAUCUUGUGCAUUUUUUUUUGUAACUACUUGAUUCUCUUUGAAGCUAAUCGAAGCUUUAUAUCUGUAUUUGCUUUCACAGGUCACCCAGCAAGAGGAAAGGCCAUGUUUCAGCCUGGAGUUUAUCUGUCGAGUUUGAUUCAUCAAUCUCGUUAUUGCAGUUAGUAGAGUACAAAUAUUGGCAAGAUAUUGCCAUUUGGUUGUGAUCUUAGAGAUGGCUUCUGCAUCUCAUUCAUUGGAUUGGAGUGAAACAUGAAGAAUAAGUCUGCAUAGGAUUUUAUUUAGAUAUUAACGCAGUAAUCUGUGAGUGUGUUUGGGACAAGUACUGCACUGUGUUAUUCAUCAGCUAAAAGCGAUUGUGAUUUGUGCAUAUAUUGUGCCUGUUUUGGCAACCCCAUAAAAAAGCACCUAUUUUUCAAAACAAAUUAUAUUUUUUUUGUUUGGGAUAUUGAUAUUAAUGUGAUAUUUCGUAUUCGUUAUUUGAUAAAAAAAUUAAUGAUUUAUUUUAAGAAAAUAGAUGUUUAUAUAAUUUUCUCUAGAAAUAAGAUUUCUGAAAUCAUCGAUUAUUAAAUAUUUUCGAAUGUAAUUCACAACCAGAGGACUGAACUCAGAAGCCCUCUCGAGUCUCAGUUUCUCGCUCUUAACACGAUAUGAAUAUGGUUUGGUAAGUUCAACAUCACUCAGAAGAUAUUAACCUUUGGAGUCAUAACAAGGGAAAUUUGGCAUUAAGAACAUUGGAUUAAGAGACUACAAUGCUCGUGGCCAUUCCCACAUUUUUCUAAAUGCCCAUGUCGACUAUAACUUAAGUCUCUUUGAUACAUUAUUAAAAGGGUCAAACAAAUUGUUCAAAACCGCCGAAAUGUCCAUGUGGACUAUAACUCAAUCUGUUUGAUAUAUUAUUAAAAGAAAAAAUAUUAUCUAUGUCAGUUACAUGACCUGAGGAUCAUAGAGGCCGAGCAUUGUAGUUGCUCUUCGAACAACUACAAUGCUAACGGCCAUAUCCCAUUUUUUUUAGCCUAGAAAUGUCACACCGAUCACCAGACUAUUAAAGUGUUCCUAUACAUUAUAACUCAAAUCUUUCCGAUACAUUAUUAGAAAAAAUACAUUGUCCACGUCAGUUUACAUGGAUUGAGUACUAAUUAGGCCGAACGCUUAGAAGAAGCUCUAAAGCUUCACCAACGAAAUCUAUGAAGUACGACCAAUUGACUCAAUAACUAUGUCAAGUUCUAUAAAGAAAACAAAAUAAACUACAAUACGAAGUAGGUUUAAUCACUUUACACGUUACGAAAAAAUUGAAUAUGAUGGAAACCAAAUCGCCAGAAAAGGCUUAAAAUUGAACCUAAUAAUGUAUGAUUCCCGUUCCAGGUUGAAAUCAAACGGAAAGAAACCGAAUUGAUCCAAUUAUGAAAGAAAUGAUUAAUUAUACAGUUAUUACCUUUGGCCGCGUUAAAGCUAGGAAGCAACACGGUCUUUAUAGUUCAUAUAAUAAUUCACAUGUCAAGACUUGAGCAAUGAGCAGAGUCUUUGUUUAUUUACUUUAAUCUUUAACUAAUUGCAGAGCCUUUAUCAGGCUUCCUUUCCUUGAGCAUUCCCAGUUAAGUUUAAUACUAGAUUAGAGGACAGACCUCCUAAUUAAUAGAUUAAUUGACUGACCUAGAUUACAAGUAUACUGAGUCAUGAUCAAUACAUGUUUUUCUAAACUUUUAUAUUUUUAUAAUAAAAUUAUUAUACCUUUUUUUUAAAUCAAUGAUCCUACAAGAAAAUUUCUCCUAUAAAAACAUAUAAUACCAUAAUACCAAACACAUACUAUCUGCAUGUUUAUCAGUACUAUAUCUUAUAGAAAGUAAUUCAUUUAAUCUUAUUAGAAUGGCGAUGAGGAAUGCUAUGCAUGUUUGGUUUCUAGUUUUUGGUAUGCUUUCCAUGGAAACAAUCUUAGCAUCAUCAGAGCUGGAAUCAAACAAGACGAUGGUGAAUAAUAAUAUCAAGUGCAUUGAAACAGAGAGACUUGCUCUGCUCGACAUCAAACGAGGCCUUGUUUCUACAUUGCGCGGUCUUUCUUCAUGGGGAAGCAACAAAGACGAGAAAAACUGCUGCCAGUGGAGUUCAGUAGAGUGCGACCUCAACACUGGUCAUGUUACCCAUCUUCGUCUUUCAUUCCUUAGUUAUCGUUAUGUUCAUGGUGAACCCACAGCUUCCAAUAUCAGUUCUUCUUUGCUUCUUCUUAGGAAUCUACAGUACCUCGAUCUCAGUUAUAAUAUAUUUGACAUUUCAUUUCUGAGUUCCAUUGGUUCCCUGACAAACUUGGUUCACCUUGAUCUUUCUAGUUCUCAGUUUCAAGGAGCAAUCCCAGAUGAGCUUGGGAAUCUCUCCAAGCUCAGUUAUCUCGAUUUCAGUGAUAAUAUAUUUGGCAUUUCAAUUCCGAGUUUCAUUGGUUCCCUGACAAACUUGGUUCACCUUGAUCUUUCUAGUUCUGGGUUUCAAGGAGCAAUUCCAGAUGAGCUUGGGAAUCUCUCCCAGCUUAGUUAUCUCGAUCUCUCCUAUAAUCAACUUGAAGGUAUGGUGCCAAACUCUUUCCAUAGUUUGUCCAGUUUACAAACUGUGGAUUUUACCUCAAACAAGCUCACUGGUAAUCUUCAAGAUCUCUUUUAUCUGUUGCCUAAGGCUAAGGCUACUUUACAGACAUUGUUGAUAUCUGAAAAUCAACUUACUGGUUCACUGCCUGAUAUCACAGCAUUUUCGUUCCUCACAGAAUUGAAUGUUCAGUCCAAUCAGUUAAAUGGAUUUCUACCAAAAAAAUUCGAACACAAAUCAGUUUUAGAAGCCUUGUCUUUGUCAGAUAAUCACCUCCAAGGUUCUUUACCUAAUUUCUCAGGAUUUUCAUUCUUAAAGUAUUUAAAUCUUAAUGAUAAUAAAUUUUCUGGGAGUCUUCCUGAUUUUGAUGGAUGUUCGGCGUUGGAAUCCUUGCAUCUUCGUGGGAAUCAAUUGACUGGAUGGGAAACUCAAUCAAUAGGACAACUCACUAAUCUUGUUCAGCUAGAUCUUUCAAGGAAUUCGAUCAACAGCACAAUCAAUGAACAUCACUUGUCGGAACUUUACAAUUUGUACCAGAUGAAUGCAUCAUUUAAUUCUUUGACAUUCAAUAUGAGUUCCGAUUGGCUCGCCCCUUUCAAACUUGACCAUCUUUCUUUGGCAUCAUGCAGGUUGGGGCCAAAAUUUCCCAUUUGGAUCCGAAAUCAAACUAAAAUUAGUAUUCUUGAUUUCUCAAGCACCCAAAUUUCAGAUACCAUUCCCAUGUGGUUCUGGGACAACUUUACCAGGAUCAGUAUAUUAGAUCUCUCUUCCAACAAAAUCAGUGGCACGUUGUCCUCCAUACCAUUACAUAUUGAUGUGAUAAAUUUGAGUUCUAAUUACUUUGAAGGACCGUUACCGCUCAUUUCACCGCUAUGUUUGGAAAUAAAUCUCUCUCAUAAUAAUUUUUCAGGAAAACUAGUAUUAUCUAAAGCUGAAGUUUUCGGUUUGAGUUUGAGGUUUCUUGAUCUUUCUCAUAAUUUAUUGUUUGGCGAGAUUCCCGAUAGUUGGAAAAACUUUGAAGAUCUCAUAUUUCUCAAUCUAGGAAAUAACAAUUUUUCGGGUAGAAUUCCUAUGUCCAUAAGGUAUCUACAUUCUCUCAAUAAAUUGAUUUUACGAAAUAACAGGUUGGAUGGAGAAUUGCCUGAGUCUUUAAGAAAUUGCACCAACCUUGGUUUUGUUGAUUUUGGUUUGAACGGCCUAUCUGGAACUGUGCCGGCAUGGAUUGGGCAAGAUCUACCGCAGUUAUAUGCUCUAGUUUUGAAAUCCAACAAAUUUUAUGGGAGCCUGCCUGAUGAUCUGUGUCAUCUCUCACAUCUUCAUUUUCUAGACCUGUCCAUGAACAGACUUUCAGGAAAUGUUCCUCAAUGCUUCAGCAGUCUCAUUGCUAUGACUAAUAAUGGAACUAGAACAAAAGAUCAUCACAACAAUCGUAUACUUUCAGCGUCUCCAUAUAGUAAUUCUCCAUAUCAUAGCGGAUGUUCAGCAAUAACCCGUUGUAGGAGAAAUGGCGGUGAUUCUUCAUAUCUGGAUGAAGCAUUCGCAGGUUGGAAAGGAAAGGAACGAGAAUAUAGGGGAAAUUUCGCUUACCUUAAGAUGAUAGAUCUUUCCAGCAACAAGUUUACUGGAGGGUUUCCUACUGGAAUAACAAGGCUUCUCGAUCUCAGAGGAUUAAAUCUCUCGAGGAAUCAGUUUUAUGGAAAAGUUCCUCUACAAAUUGGUAGACUCUUUCAGUUGGAAGUUCUUGAUCUGUCUGGUAACAAAUUUUCUGGUGACAUCCCUCGAAAUAUUUCUGGUUUAACUUUUCUUGCUUAUUUAGAUCUCUCGAGCAAUAACUUUUCUGGGAGAAUCCCAUUAGGAGGUCAACUCCAGACAUUCAAUUCUUCCAUGUAUGAGGGGAAUCCUGGACUCUGUGGCUUGCCACUCACAAAAAGAUGUCCCGGAGAUGAAACAAGUGUCGAAGUUCUCCCACCAUCUAAUGGAAAUGAAGUUGAUGAAGAUGAGAUUUUAUAUGAGAGAUGGUUAUAUAUAAGUGCAGCACUUGGUUUCAGCACUAGCUUCUGGGGAAUCUGUGUAACUCUACUUGUUAACAGGCGCUGGAGACAUGCAUAUUUCCUCUUCUUAACGAAGUUAAAGGAUCAGCUUUAUGUGUUGGUGGCAGUGCGCAUAGCCAGAUUGAAGGUAAGGCUCCAAGGUUGACUUGAAGGUGAAGGUAAUAUUGAUACUUCUUUUCUCUGAUUUUUUUUUUUUUAUUUAACACCAGCAGAGUAUUCACUAAGGAAAGGCCAUUUUCUUUAACUUGUGUUGACCAUCUUGUGCAUUUUUUAUAACUUCUUCAUUCUCUUCGAAGCUAACCUAAGCUUUAUAUCUGUAUUUGCUUUCACAGGGCGGCCACCGAGAGAAAAGGCCAUGUUUCAGACUUGCCUGGAGUUUAUUCUGUGGAGAUGGCCUCUACAUCUCAUUCAUUGUCGUCACCUACUAUGUAUUGGAGUGAAACAUGAACAAUAAGUUUGCAUAUGAUUUAGAUAUCUAAAGACUAAAGUAGUACUGUGUGUGUUUGUGUGCGUUUUUGGGACAGGUAUUGCAUAUUAUGAAAAUCUGUAUAGUCAUCCCAUAUUCCCAUCACUCCUAGUCUUUAAUAGUUCAAAUUUGUUAAUGUACUAUAAAUAAAUAAAUUUCUGAUUUUUUAUAAUUUAUUAUUUAAUUCAAGGAAGUGUGGUAGCUGGGUGUGUUUGAGCUCUGUCAGACGAUUACAGUUGUGUACCUUAAUUAUUUUGCUUUAGUUUUUCUAAUCAUGUGUUAAUGUUAGUUGUAUUUCCUUCUGAAAGAGGUAAAAGGAGAUUAACAGCAGUACGUGGAAUAGAGAUUCUGCAAUAUUUCCUGUUUAUUUUUGUUUGUUCAGAAAAAGGAUGUUCCAGCCAUCUUCGUAUUCACAUCUUUAUAAACUUCAUGUUGCAGAACCCAAGUCCAUACGGUGUGUUACACUUCGUACCUAAGUCAAAUUAAUAUAUUAAUAUGAUAUAUAUUAUAAAGCUAUGAACGGAUUUAGCAAGCUAUUAAUUAACUUAUGCAUAGUGCUUAUUGCAAUAUAAGCUUGUAAUUAACGUUAUCCUCCAUACAAUUAUAUAUCGAUGUGAUAAAUUUGAGUUAUAAUUACUUUGAAGGACCAUUACCUCUCAUUUCCUCAAAGUGUUCGGAACUUAAUCUAUCUCAUAAUAACUUUUCAGGAAACUAGUAUUAUCUGCUUCUGAAAUUAUGGGUUUGAGGUUUCUUGACCUUUCUCAUAACUUAUUGUUUGGUGAGCUUCCUUAUAGUUGGAAAUAUUUUGAGAAUCUCGUGUUUCUUAAUCUUGGAAAUAAUUAUUUUUGGGGUAGAAUUCCUAUGUCUAUAGGUAUCUACAUUCUCUCAUUUUAUCUCUCGCAUCUUCAUUUUCUAGACCUGUCCAUGAAAAGACUAUCAGGAAAUGUUCCUCAAUGCUUCAGUAGUCUUAUUGCUAUGAUUAAUGGAACUAAAACAACAGAUCAUCACAACAAUAGUGCGUCUCCUUAUAGAAGGGAAUGUUCUGUUAAAAGCCAUUGCAGGUUUAGCGAGAGCAUUGUAAUAUAUGAUUAUCUGGAUGAUGCAUUGGCGGGUUGGAAAGGAAAGGAACGAGAAUAUAGAGGAAAUUUCGCUUAUCUUAACAUGAUAGAUCUUUCCAGCAAUAAAUUUACUGGAGAAUUUCCUGCUGGAAUAACAAGGCUUCUGGAUAUGAAAGGAUUGAACCUCUCGAGGAAUCAGUUUGAUGGAAAAGUUCCAGAACAAAUUGGUAGACUAGUUCAGUUGGAAGUUCUUGAUCUGUCCAGUAACAAUUUUUCAGGUAAAAUCCCUCGAAGUAUGUCUGGUUUAACCUUUCUUGAUUAUUUAGAUCUUUCGACCAAUAACUUGUCUGGAAGAAUCCCAUUAGGAAGUCAACUCCAGACAUUCAACUCUUCCCUGUAUGAGGGGAAUCCUGGACUCUGUGGCUUGCCACUCACAAAAGGAUGUCUGGGAGAUGAAACAAGUGUCGAAUUUCAACCAUCUUUUGAAGGAAAUGAAGUUGACGAAGAUGAGAUUGUAUAUAGGAGAUGGUUAUAUAUAAGUGCAGCCUUUGGUUUCAGUAUUAGCUUUUGGGGAAUCUGUGUAACUCUACUUGUUAACAGGCGCUGGAGACAUGCAUAUUUCAUGUUCUUAACGAACUUAAAGGAUCAGCUUUAUGUGUUCAUAGUAGUGCACAUUGCUAAAUUGAAGGUAAGGCUUCAAGGUUGAGUUCAAGGUAAUAUAAAUACUUCUUUUCUCUGAAUACUUGUUUUUUGAGAUGAGCUAAAAUACAAUUGUGCAUCUACUACGAAAAUCUUGAAAUAAGAAAUACGAGAGUGUAACAAUGAUCUGUGAUGCAGAUGUCUCUAAAUUGUAUUUGAUUUCAUCAUCUUUUUAUUGCAUUUGAAUUUAGCUUAAAUUCAAAAUACAUAUCUUUCAUUUUUGCAUAAACGCAUGCUAAUACAUUUUGGUUCUUUAUUCAUGAAAUAAUGUAGGUGUGUAGAUUUUUUAAGGAGAAUUUAAGGAAGUGUGGUAGGUGUGUUUCAACUCUGUCAGACAAUUACAGUUGUGUACCUUAUGGUCUUUUUCUUGAAUUUUUCAUAUCAUGUGUUAAUGUUAGUUGUAUUUCCUUCUGGUAAAGAGGUAAAAGGAGAUUAAAAGCAGUACAAGGAAUUGAGAUUCUACAGGAAAUUAUUUCCUGUUUGUUUUUCUUUGUUUGGAAAAAGCAUUUUCAGCCGUCUUCGUAUUCACCUCUUAUAUAUUUUUCAUGCUGCAGAACCCAACUCCAUACUGUGUAUUUGACACUUCGUACCUGAGUCAAAGUAAUAUGUUAAUAUAAUAUAGACUAUGACGCUAUGAACGGAUUUACCAAGCUACUAAUUAACUUAUGCAUAGUCCUUGGUUGAUAGUGCUUAUUGCAAUUUAAUCUUGUAAUUAUAUGUUUAUAAUGUGCAAGUAAGUAUAUAUAGAGUUUGGUUUUUUAUUUUCUUUUAAAUUUAAGAGUGCAAUUAGGCAUCAGUAUAGCAAAAAUAUGUCUGGAAUGUACAUGUUCUGGGAGUUUGCUUGCAGUCAAUCUGUGCUUUAGAUCAAGUCAGCCCUGAAUACAAUAUGUCAUUUCAGAAAAAUGCUAUAUAAUUAAAGAAAUUUCCUAAAACUUUUACAGUACUCAUAAAUUAGAUAUGAUAACAGAUAAUAUAAUUUGUUAUAGGUCUACUUGUCUCAACUCUAAUUUUGCAUUUGGAAGUAAUGUAGUAGAAAUAUCAAUACUAUUCAUGCUAUUGGCGACGAGAUCUCUGGUGUUCUAAUUUGUAUAUAGUUUAUGAGAAGACUUCUUGUAUCCAGCACUGUUGGUUCUGUGAAAGUGUUGAUCUCUGACAAUGUUUUUGUGAUGAAUGCUUGUUCUGUUGUUCAUCGAGCAGUUCUUUUUUCACUGAUUAACUUGUUUUUUCUUACAGCAUUUCACUAAAGAUCGUCAACUUCUGCAAUGCCUUGAGAACAGAGUGUUGCCUGCCAGAUAAUCUGAAAUGUAGCUGCUCGAAGCGAAACAUGGAUCGAAGAUGGUUCUAUUUUAUUGAAGUCAUUCGAUUAAACUGGUUCUCUGCGUAUAAUUAAGUUUACAUUCUGCUGUAUUCGAUAUGUUGUUCUUAUCAAAUCAUGUUAUUGGAAUUAAUAGGAUAAAGUUCAGCUGAUAGACGCUCUCUAUGAACUCCCUUUCUGUUUAAAUUAUAUAUAUAUAAAUAAAUUAUAAAAUUAUAUUUUAUAAAAACAUUAAAGUGUGUGUCGAGCAGUGAAAGAAAAUGUAUAGAAUUGAGUGGGAUGUAAGUACAAUAAAGUGAACAUUUAUAUGAUUUAUUAUUUAAUUGUUGUUAUUUUCUAUCAAAAUUUUAAAUUUUUUAUUUUAUUUUAGUCAAUGUUCUAAAAGUCGGCGACUAAUCGGUAUUAAUCGCUGUUGGUCGGUCACUGUCACGGUUAAGUGAUAAUCGGUGAAAAAAUCAUUUUCCUUGAAAAAUCGGUCAAGAAAAGGUAUAACCGGUAAAAACUCAGGAAAUUUAUUUAUUUUUUAAUAAAAAAUCAAAGUUAAGAAAAUUUGAAAUUAAUUUUAAGACUCAUAGUACUAUUGUCUUAUAGGGCGAAUUGGCCUAAAUAUGUUGAGUUUGUUCAACAACCAACUCCCACAUGUCACAGUGGAAUUCCCACAUUUUGCCAAUAGUGUGUAGCAAAACUACAAUCAAAGAAAACAUGAAGGAGAUGUUCUACCUCAAUCCCACACAUAUAUAGGACACACUAUAGGCACUGCAUAACUGCAUUGCAUCUUUUCUAUUAAAAAUUGGACUGGAACAUUAUUCCUGCAAAACCUUCAAAGCAAAAACUUCACUUUUGGCGGAACUUUUAGAUUCAAGCAACUCUUUAAUAACACCCAUUCUUGAGCACGUUUGGAUAGCUCAGUGGUUAAGAGCUUAUCCUCUGUCGUCCCAGGUCUUGGGUUCAACUUUAUUAAAGAGCUAACGUUUUUCUAUCAACAAUUCGAUAACUGGACAUAAGUUAAUGAUCAGUGUUUCUGUUAUAUUCAGUGCUUUGGUGCAAGUCAAAUUGUUGUAAUGUACUCCCUGCUUUAGUUUCCUUGCUAAGUACUGACUUCAAUAACAGGGCUCACACUAUCCUAUGAAUCACUUUCAGCAUCUAUGGCAGAAGCUAAAUCUAAAUGUAUAUUAAAGAAGAUGAAAUCAAAUAGUACAAUUAGAAACUGUCAUUGUCAUUAUACAGAUCAUUGACACUGUCAUACUUAGCACAAAAACACACACACUGCCAUCAUAUCUAAGUCCUCUGCAGACUUAUUCUUCAUGUUUCAAUCCAAUCCAUGGUAGCCAUCUCUAAGAUCAGAACUGCAUAACGACUGCAAUAGCGGGAUUAAUAAAUCAAACUCGACAGAAUAAAUUCCAGUCUUGACAAGGGCGAGUCUGAAACAUGACCUUUUCUCUUGGUGAGCGCCCUGUGAAAGCAGAUACAAAUAUAAAGCUUCGGUUAGCUACGAAGAGAAUGAAUUAAUUAAACAAAAUGCACAAGGUGGUUAACCCAAGUGGCAUAGGCGGAUAAUAAAUCUAAAGAUAUAUCAUAUAUCUAAACAUAUAACAAACCAAGGAAAUAUCAGCAAAUGAAGAAAAAUAUAUUUAAAGAUAUUCUUCAAAUCCGAAAGAUUUCAUUACACAAUAUUUACAAGAUAUUUACCUUAAACUUUCUUAGUGAAUACUUUGUUGGCCCUAAAACAAAAAACCAAUAAUCAGAGAAAAGAAGUAUUUAUAUUACCUUAAACUCAACCUUGAAGCAAUACUUUCAAUCUAGCAAUGUGCACUACCAUGAAGACAUAAACCUGAUCCUUUAAGUUCGUUAAGAACAGGAAAUAUGAAUGUCUCCAGUGCCGGUUAAGAAGUAGAGUUACACAGAUUCCCCAGAAGCUAGAGCUGAAAGCCUGAAACCAAGUGCUGCACUUAUAUAUAACCAUCUCUCAUAUAAAAUCUCGUCUUCAUCAAAUUCAUUUCCAUUAGAUGGUGGGGGAACUUUGACACUUGUUUUAUCUCUUAGUAACCUCCCUUGUCUCCAUUUUACUUUGUUCAUUAAAUAUUAUAUAUAAAUAGUUAUAUAAAUUAUGUGUAAUAUACACACACAUCUAUAAAUAGAUAGUUGCUCCUCCCAUUUUUGAUGGCUUAUUACUACCAAUGCCCUUCAUCAGCUUUUUAAUUACAUAUCAUGCCAUUGAUUUUAUUAAAUCUGCAUCCACGUGCAAAGUAACACGGGAUAGUACAUCAGCAUUUAAUAACAAGUUUCAGCCGCUGGGUAACAUAAGCUACUACUGGAUACUGCAUAUAUUCUCCUACACAGCACUGAUAUGUACUUCCUAUCUCACAAAUUCUCCUUUUCAAUUUGAAUUUGAAUUCUGGAAAGAGGUUUUCUCUCUUCAUUCAUACAAGCAGAUACAUAUAUUCUAUAGUCUUCCCUCUCCCAAUCGAUGGAUGAGGUUAGUUUACCCGGCGUUUGUAUAUAACUAUUUUGUCCUACAUGAUUAUUCUAUGAAUUAGUUUAAUUUUAACAAUUUAACAAUUUCGGGCUAUCCAGUAUCUGCUGUUGCUGGUUCUACAAACAAACAUGGAAAGGGUGAUGGAGACAUGGAGUUCUUCGAACCUGGUAUGUUCUUGAUCGGCCUCUGUUUUUUUCCCGUACUCUUUGCCGUCUUCCAACUGUUUGUUAUAAUUUCAAUGUGCAUUCUUCUUUUAUCGUGCUUAGGAAAAUCGCCUAGGACGCCUUUUAGUGAUGUUACCUUAACAAAACAAUCACUUAUAACUCGCAACAGUGAACCCUACACAGAUUUUUAAUCAUAAAAAUAAAGGAUUAUCAGUCUACUAGACAAUAAAAAUACAAUCUUUUUAACUCUAUGAUUUCGGUAUGCAAGUAAGGUUUGGGACUAGUAUAUAUUACAUAUAAUCUAACAAUGCCCAACUGGCCAACACUGGUAAUUAUACUCUGACACUGCCAAACUAACCAAACCUAAUAUCAAGGAACAAGAGUAAAAUAUUACUUGUAAAUAAAUCAAGAACUAAUAAAAAAUCUCUUUUCUUUUGUUUCUAGAAAACAUCUUAUAUUCUAAUGUACUCACAAAUCAAUUAAAUGAAUAAAAGAAGUUAAAUAAUUUAAUUAUUUCCAAAUCAAAAUAUAUAAUAAUUAAUAACAUGUUAAAUAAAUAUUAAAAACCUUUGACAAAUACAAAUAUCACUGGUAACACCAUUUUAACACAUCCACAUAUAUUACCGAUGCAUAAAAUACACACAUAUAUAAUUCGUAAAGUCAUAGAAAAAUAUAAUAAAUUAAAUAUAAGAAAAUAUAAUUGUUAUGUAUAUAUAUAUAUUAUAUAUAUAUACAUAACAAUUAAACAAAAACUACGAAUAUUAGAAGCGUUUGCUUUUUCGCUGAGUUCAGUGAUUUGAAAGGGCUGAGUUGUAAAUUUUUAGGGUUUUUUUUCCAAAUUAAUUUAAAGAUUUUGUGUUGAGUGAUUUGAAAACACAUUUUUUAGGGGGUGUGGUUCUUAUGUUUUUGCAGAGUUUGCUGAUUCUUAAUUUUACAUUUAUCCUUUAUGUAGAAAAUGCAUGUGAAAGCUCUAAUCCGCGACUUUCACAACUCCAAUCAGUAAGGGCAGGACCAACUAGAACAAGGAGAGUCGGGUGAUGAUGAUUUGGACAUCACAACCGAAAUUCGAGAGGUAAUUCUAAUUUUUAAUUUUUUAGGGUUUGCUUUAUUCUCCAAUUAAUUUAAAGAUUUUGUAUUUUGUGAUUUGAAAACACAUUAUUAGGGUUCUUUGUGCUUAUUUUUAAUUUUUAGGGUUUGCUUUUUCCCUGUGUUCAGUGAUUUGAAAGGGCUGAGUUUUAAAUUUUUGAGGUUUUUUUCGAAUUAAUUUAAAGAUAUUGUGUUGAGUGAUUUGAAAACACAUUUUUUAGGGGUGGUGGUUCUUAUGUUUUUGCAGAGUUUGCUAAUUCUUAAUUUUACAAUUAUCCUUUAUGUAGAAAAUGCAUGUCAAAGCUCUUAUCCGUGACCCUCGCAACUCCAAUCAGCAAGGACAGGCCCAACCAGAACAAGUAGAGUCCGGUGAUGAUGAUUUGGAAAUCGGAACCGAAAUUCGAGAGACGAGAGGUAAUUCUAAUUUUUAAUUAUUUAGGGUUUGCUUUAUUCCCCAAUUAAUUUAAAGAUUUUGUAUUUUGUGAUUUGAAAACACAUUAUUAGGGUUCUUUGUGCUUAAUUUUUAAUUCUUAGGGUUUGCUUUUUCCCCUGUGUUCAGUGAUUUGAAAGGGCUGAGUAUUAAAAUUUUAGAGUUUUUUUCCGAAUUAAUUUAAAGAUUUUGUGUUGAGUGAUUUGAAAACACAUUUUUUAGGGGUGGUGGUUCUUAUGUUUUUGCAGAGUUUGCUGAUUCUUAAUUUUACAUUUAUCCUUUAUGUAGAAAAUGCAUGUUAAAGCUCUUAUCUGUGACUCUCACAACUCCAAUCAGCAAGGACAGGCCCAACCAGAAAAAGGAGAGUCCGAUGAUGAUGAUUUACAUAACAGAACUGAAAUUCGAGAGGUAAUUCUAAUUUUUCUUUUUUUUUGGAGUGCUGUUGUUUAGUAUAUAAUAUUUUGUUAUGAAUAGGACUAUGUUAAGGACCUUGGUGCCAGUAAAGCGGAAAGAACAAGGAAAGACUGAUUCUGUGCAUGUAUUCCUGUGGUUAGGCAGGAAAGACUGAGUAUGUGCAUAUAUUCAUGUGGUUUGGCCUUUUUUUACCAUAAUUUCUGAUGAAACAUGUAAGCAUUGCAAAGUUUUCCUAUUAGAAGUCUCCGUGCAUAUAUUCCCGUGGUUAGCCUUUUUUUACCAUAAUUUCUGGUGAAACAUGUAAGCAUUGUAAAUAAUCUUGAAUUUCUAUACUAUGACUGGUAAGUUUUUGGGUGUAAGAAACUUGAAUUUCUAUACAGAUUUAUUUAGCUCUUGUGAUGUUAAGACAUGGUCACAGACCUAUACUUACCUAUAGAACAUUCUUGUUUCCUGUAUAUCUCCAUUCUUCUUUCCUAUUGUCACAAGUUUCUGGAUUUCUUUUCUUUGAUACAGACUGCAGAAUUGCUCACCAGUAUUUAUUUUUCAGAUAGCCUCUAUUAAUCUUGUAUCAGUUUCAGAUACUCUUAAUUCUUUAUUCCUUUUUAUGUAUUGUUACUUCUAUAGGUAAAUUUGGUAAGCUUUUAUGAAGCCUCAUUUUCAUAUUGUUUUUCUAUUGUUUAAUAUUUGGCGUGCUUUUGGAAAGUUUUGGUUGCAAAAAUUUGAGUAUUCUAAUGUUUGUAACAAAAUGGAUGACGAUAACAUAUUGCAAUCUACUACCAUGUCUAUUAUGUAAUCUAUUCAACCAUUUUUUUUCUUAUUAUCUUUUUAUUUGUAUUUAUUGUGUCAUUGAUCUUCUUUGUAUAAUAUAUAUUUUUCUAGUGAGUCUCCUAUGCCAUUUGUUUUUCUUGAUACUAGCUCAGGACAACAAUGAGUUUUUAUUGUAAUAAUUCAUUUAGAUGCUUUUGCAAGUUCGUCCAGUGGCCCAAACCCAACUGUAAAAUAGAACCCAACCCAAUUCCAACCCUAAUUGUGUACGAGACCUAAAAGUGAAGUGUUAAAUGAGCACUAUAUAUAAACCCACUACAACAAAAUCGGGUAUUUACGAUGGAAAUUAAGCCUUAAAUCCUUCGUAAGGUCAAAAUUUACGACGGAAUAUUUCCGUCGUUUUUGCUCAAGUAGUAAGUUCGAAAAAACGGCACAAUUUUCAGCAUCCGUCGUAAGUAUGGUCAAUCGUUGUAAGUUUUACCUGCGUCGUAAGUAUGGUCAAGCGUUGUAAGUUUUACCUGGUGGGACCCACCACAAACAAAAAGCUAAUUUUUUACAAAUAUUUUCCAAUAAAUAUUAACAUGUUACAAUAACAUCCGUAAGGUUGGAUCGUCCAAAAUGAUUUUUAAAAACAUAGUAUUAACACAUUAGAAUAACAUCCGUACGGUCAGAUCGUCCGAAACGAUUUUUAAAUGUGGCUAGUGGCAUUAAAUAUGGUUGGUGAAUUUACAACGAAAUCCGUCAUAAGUUUGUGUCCAAAAAAGGGCGCCGCCUUUUGACCUAACACUUAUUUCCUUUUUUAAUUUAAAAUAUAUUAAAAUAACAAACUUAUGACGGAAGACCACAUUCCGUCGUAAGUUACUAAUGUAAAAAUGACACCGUACUUAGAACUGAAUUUUUUUUUAUUUUUUUUCCAAUUUAAAAAAUAUUAUAUAAAGGAACUUACGACGGAGUUGUAAAUCAAUGCACGACUUCUGUCGUAAGUUUUCCAUCAUAAAAGGGGAACUUACGGCAGAUCGGUCGUAAGUCAUCCGUCGUAAUGAACCAGUUUCUUGUAGUCACCCCUGGUAUGGAAAUAAGUACAAACAGAUUUGAGAUUGGCAAAAAGUCAAACCCUAGUCUUCUUUCAUUCUUUCGGUAGCUCUACUUGUAGUGGUGUAAUUGAUUUAUGUUAAAAUCGAUUGUUAUGGGGGGAUUAAAGAUGUAAGAUUAUGAAAGUUUAAGCAAACAUAUACCUGCUUACACAUUUCCCAAAGAGGUUUUUGAGCCUAAGGAUUUUGUGAGGCUGCCCUUUAAUAUUAAUUAUCAUUAUUAUUAGAUAUAAAUAAUUUAAAUUGAGUUGAAUUUUGGUUUAUUUGAGCUGAAAGUUUUUUUUUAGGCUGCCUUUGAGUUUGCGAGAUACUAGUUAUAGUAUUCAUGAUAUUUAUUUAUUAUCUAUGUUAGAUUUAGGUUAAGAUUUUAGUCCUGCUAUGCAUAUUUAUCUCUAUGCUUGAAUUUGGUAAAUAUAUGUAAAUUCCUCUGUACAAUCUCAUUGCAUAGUGAUUCAGUUUCAUGGCUUCCGAGUACAAUGUAUCGGUUGCCUUCUGUUGAUUUAUUAAGUAAGAAUAUGUCUAAUAGGCGGCACUCUUUAUUCCGUGCUAUCUUUUUCUCCGGUGUUACCGGUUACCUAUGUUUCCGGUAAGUAUAGUUAAUUUACAAGCUGGCAUCUUGUCUUUAUUGUUUGUAUUUUAAUUUUUAUACAAUCUUGCUUUAAUAUUAAGUUUGUACAAUUAUUUCAUGACUUUCAGGGGUUCCUGAUGAGUUUUGAGGUUUUUUUUCGUUGUAUUGCGGUAUCUUUAUUAUUAUUAUGUAGUCGCGGUGAAUUGUAAGUCUGAAACAUUUAAAAUUGGUUUAUUUUCUUUUGACUAGGAAGUUUUUGGUUUAAGAUUCUUGAAUAUCUAUUCAGAUUUGAUGAGCCACUACUAUGUUGUUCCAACAAUCCUCUACUUAUUUAAAGAAAUUUCUUGUUGUCUGUCUAUCUCCAUUCGUUUUUGAUACUUACGAUUGAUUCAAAUUUCUGGAUUUCAAUUUUUAUAUACUAAACUGCUCUGCAAGUAUUUUUGUUUCGAAUGACCUCUGUUUAUCAUGUAUCACUUUCAGCUAAUCUGUAUAUCUUUUGUUUCCUUGUAUCUGGUUUUGCUUAUAUGAUAGUACUUAGGAAUUGUCACUUAGGUUUUUUUUUUUUCAGAUUUUACUGUAUUGUUUAGUAUUUAGUGUGCUUUUGAAAGAGGGUUAAUUGAAGAACUUUACAUAUCCAGUGUGUGUAACAAUCUGUAACAAACCUUUGUUUUCGUCCUUUCUUUUUUAGCACCUGGAAUCUCCAGACUGUUAGCUGUGUAAUUGAUUUACACAGCAGCAUUAAUGCCGAAUGUUAUGGGGAUUAGGGAAUGUGGGAUUAAAGUCUAAUUUGUGAGAUCUUUCGACUCACACAUCUCUCUAGGAAAGUGUAACCAAACAUAUAUCUGAUUACACAUUUCUGAGAGAUAUAUUUAAGCCGAAAGAUUUUCGGAGGCUGCCUUUAAUUUUAGCAGUAACAGGGGCAGAGAGUUAAAUCUCAAGGACACUCUCGGAGUUUAUGUCCACGCGGUAACAAUAUUAGUUAUUAUAAUUUUUACUUAUUUAUCAUCAAUCUUAGAUAUAAAUACUUAAAUUAGAAUUUAGUCCUACUAUGUAUUUUGACGUCAUCUUAAUGCUUGAAUUUGGUGAUAUGGCAAUAUUGUGCAUGUGAAUUUCUCUGUACAAUCUGACUGCAUUGUGAUUCACUGUAUAAGUUAUCCUCUGUUUAUUUCGCUACGUAAUAAAUGUCUAUUUUGGUAAAUCCUAUGUCUAAAAUCCUCGAUGUAGCAUAUUGUGUCUAGAGUUUGUAUUUCAAGUUUUUUAUUUGAUUACUUGCUUUAAUAAUAUGUUUAUCCACAUAAUUCAUAACUUUGGGGUGUCGCAUAAUAAUAAUCUCUAAGUGUGUUAUUACUUUAGUUUUCUACUCAAUAUAAACCUUUGAGUUUGUUAUAAUUUUUAAAUUUUUGCGGAUUAUUACUUUGUAUUGUUAUGUAGUCAUGGAGAUCUGAAAGUCGAUACGCUUGACCUAGUUUAUUCUCUUAGCUACUGAUGUUGUGGUAUUUGGUUGUUUUCUCUCUGGAUUCUUACAGUUUCAACAGCCAUCUUCAAAGUUCGUAGUUGUUUUUUUUCAAAAAUAAAAAUAAAAAUAGUAAUGUCGUUCAUCAUUUUUAAGAAUUGUUAGUAUUUUCGUCAUAUUCUCUGUUAUCUAUGUAAACAUGACAAUCAAUUUUCCUAUACUAUGACCGGUAAGUUUUUGGUAGACCUGGGAAACAGUUCGUGUCGUGUAUUUUCGUGUUUUCGUGUACUGAACCCUAAACCCGAACCCGAACUGUUUCGGUUUCGUGUACCAGUUCUGGAACACGUACACGAACCGAAUUAUUUCGUGUCAACACAAACCGUACACGUUAAGUACACGAAAAAUUUCGUGUUCUUUCUGUGUACCAAGAACAGUCCGGAUGAAAUGUACACGAAAUACACAUUUGUACACGAAAGUACACGGAUUUCACAAAAAAUCUAUUAUUUUUAUAAUUUUUCUGUGACAAACAAUAGAUUAGACAUAUAAUAAAUUCAUAAGAUAAAAGAAAUGAAAUAACAGAACUAAAAUUUAUUAAAGAAUAUAUAUAAAUAAGUAUAAUAUAUUUUUUAAUUUAUAUUUAUUUAUUUAGUUCGUGUACUUUCGUGUCGUUCGUGUACUUAUAUCAAAAACCGAACCCGACACUAAUAGUAACGUGUACUUUUCGUGUUCGUGUACUUUCGUGUUCGUGUAUCGAAUAUUGAAAACCAAACCCAAAUUUUCGUGUUGUGUUUUCGUGUCGUGUACCGAAUUGCCUGGUCUAGUUUUUGGGUUUAAGAUUCUUGAAUUUUUAUACAGAUUUAUUUGGCUCUAAUGAUGUUUAGACUUUAGACAAACCUCUAUUUACCCAUAGAAAAUUCUUGUUUCCUGUAUAUCUCCAUUCUUCUUUCCUAUGACUGCAGAAUUGCUCAUCAGUAUUUAUUUUUCAGAUAACCUCUGUUUAUCUUGCAUCACUUUCAGAUACUCUUAAUUCUUUAUUCCUCUUUAUGCAUUGUUACUUCAAUAAGUAAAUAUGGUAAGCUUUUAUGAAGUCUCAUUUUCAGAUUGUUUUUCUAUUGCUUAAUAUUUGGUGUGCUUUUGGAAAGUGUUAGUUGCAAAAAUUUGAAUAUUCCAGUGUUACACUGGAACAAAAUGGAUGACGAUAACAUAUUGCAAUCUACUACCAUGCCUCUUAUGUAAUCUAUUCAACCAUUUUUUUUUCUUAUUAUCUGUUUUUUUAUUAUUUAUUGUGUCAUUGAUCUUCUUUGUGUAAUAAUAUUUUUUCUAUCGUGUCUUUGAAUAUAUUUUUCUCUAUUGAGUCUCUGAUGCCAUUCAAGCCCAUUAACAUUUGCUUGCAAAGAUAAAGGCUCGUUGGUUGUGGAUUUAGUUUGUUUAUAGUGCAGGAAAGUGAUGAAGAUUAUAUUUUGUAGUAUGUUUGCAAGAUUGUGUCCCGUCACAUCUUAUGAUAAAAGGCGAGGAUACACAUUUCAUCGAUAUCUUCAGAAGGCUAGAAAUUCACAUGUUAUUGCAACAACUGUUUUUGCUUAUCAAUUUUUAUGCAAAUUAUUACCAAAAUUUGUAAUAAAACGAUCCGAUAUCUGAGCAGAAGGGUGUCCGGUUUCACCUGGUUCAUUUUACAACUCUACGCAUGUGUAAUCACUCAAAAUGACUAAGAGAUAGAUGUGAUUAUAUCCAAAAAUACUUCCUAGAAGUGUGAAUUUGAAGUAAGGCUUGCUGGAAUAAGAUACAGGAGAUUUUCUUGCUGGAAUAAGAUACCGGAGAUACAGGAGAUUUUCUUGCUGGAAUUUGAAGUGUGAAUGAAUAAGAUACCGGAGAUUUUCUUGCUGGAAUAGCAAGGCUUGUGGAUCUUAAGGGAUUAAACCUCUGGAGGAAUCAGUUUUAUGGAAAGAUUCCUGUGCAAAUUGGUAGACUAUAUCAGUUGGAAAUUCUUGAUCUGUCCAAUAACAAAUUUUCAGGUGACAUCCCUCGAAGCAUGUCUUGUACAUUUAACUUUCUUUGAUUAUUUAGACGUUUUUUGAUUAUUCAUAUAUAGUAUUAUAUAUUUAUUUUAGACUAAAUAAUAAUUAUUUGAAUAGUUGAAAUAAAAUGAUUUUUAAUGUUAGUGGAUCAUAUUCUGCUCAUAUUCGAUGGAUCGUAAACUACCUAGUUAGAAAAUAAUACUGGUUCAUAUGUGGAUUGGAUCCGGAGCUCAAGUAUCGGGGAUUAUUUUAUAUCGGAAUAAAAUUAUUCCAAACCCGAAUCUAGACACAAUUAAAAAAAAAAACGAUCCGAUAUAUGAGCAUAAGGGUGUCCAGUUUCACCUUGUUCACGUGUAAUCACUCAAAAUGAGAGAUAGAUGUGAUUAUACCCAAAAAUGCUUUUUAGAAGGGUGAUUUUGAAGUAAAAUCUUAAGUCCCACAUAAUUGCGGAAAGAGCCUUUGAAGGUUUGUGCGGUAAGAACACUUUUGUAGUGCUUAGAUGUAUUGUUCUACCACUUACGUGUGCGCAGUUCUGCGGUUUGCCAUGCAUUGGAGACCUACAUGUUUCAUGUUCUUAACAAACUCGAGGUUGAUUUCAUGUUUCAUGCAUUGAAGCCAGGGCUCCAAGGUUGAUUUCGAGGUAAUAUAUACUGCUUUUCUCUGAUUAUUGGUUUUUUUAGAGCCAAGAAAAUAUUUUUAUUAAGAAAAAGCAUAUAUAAAAUCUGCAAGCACAUAUGAGACCAUCUCCGAGAAUGCUGUGUUUCACCUUGCUUACCAAAUUUUUAUGAUUUGUCUCGAGAAUGAUUUAUUUGAAACUGAAUUCUUACCAAUUUUUUAUCUGUAUUUGAUUCUUGGUUUAUCAGUACCCCUGAAUUAUAUCUCACUAUUGGAAAAAUGAGUAGAAUUUUUGUUUUCAACAUGAGGAUUGAAUUUUCUGAACUUUUCAUACUGGGAUUGUAAUAUGUUGCAGGACUGUGCAAGGGCUAAUCACAUUGACAUUGUGUUAAAAUUCAUUCUCUCGAUGCUUUCCGAAGCUUUAUUUCUUUGGUUUUACAGGGUGACCACCAGGAGAAAACGCCAUGGUUUUAGCCUUGCUCCUUUUAAGACGGGAAGUUAUGAUGGGGCCGUUUGGGUGAGCUUAAAAAAGUGCUUCUUUAAAGUAAAGAAAUGAAUUAGUAGUGCGAAGUAAAUUAAGACUUAUAGUGAUUAAACUAUUUGGGAAAAAAGAAGAAGUCCUGAAACAGAAGUUAGCAUUCUUAGCUUGUUAUAAGUACUUGUAGGUUUUUACACAACGGUCAAGAAAAGCAGAAGCCAGCUUUUUACCACAUAAAGCCAGAAGUAGUCGUUCCCAAACAUCCUCCAUGUCUGAGUUUAUUCCCUCAGUUCAUUUCUGCAAUAUUUGUAUUUGAUUUCAGUUUAAGUUUCUUGGAGCAUGUCUAAUGACAUCUUUAAACAAAUUUUUUAAUUUUAAAUUUAGAAAUAUGUGAAAAAGUGUCCCAAAGAGCUCAGCUCCUUUUCUUUUUCUUUUUUCCCAAAACAAGCUCAGCUCUUCUAAUAUAAAUGUUUUUAAAUAAUUGUCAUGAUAUUAAAUAUAUUAAUUUUAAUAUAUAAAUGUUGAAAAUUUUGUGAUCUGUGAGAGGAAAAUAUUAUCUAUUCAAUAAUUAGGGAGUAAGGCUAGUUCGCAGACAAGACUGGAAAGCACUCCUUUUACCCAAGUGAGCUGAUGGCCAUUCCUUUUGUGAAAGAAAAGAGCUUUUAGGACUACAAUUUCAUCAAUUCAGAGAACCUUCACAGUUCACACAUUGGGUCUCCGGAGACUUCCCGGGCAAUCAUUUUGCAUUUAUAUCGACAUUAUAUCCCUUAGACAACCAUUUUCUUGAGUCGUAUCAUAAUGGUGUGUGUAAUGGUGAUGAGGAAUGCAUUACUUGUUUGGUUUCUAGUUUUCGGUAUGCUCUGCAUGGGAACAAUCUUACUGUCUUCUGCUUCAUCAGAGCUGGAUUCAAACAACACGAUGGUGAAUAAUAACAACAAGUGCAUUGAAACAGAGAGACUUGCUCUGCUCGACAUCAAACAAGGCCUUGCAGACACUUAUGGCAGUCUUUCUUCGUGGGGAAGCAGCAAAGACGACGAGAAUUGCUGCCAAUGGAGUUUACUUGAGUGCGACUCCGACACUGGUCAUGUCACUCACCUUCAUCUUUCAUCUCUUAAUGACGGUGAUACUAAUGAUGCUUCCAAUAUCAGUUCUUCAUUGCUUCUUCUAAGGAAUCUACAGUACCUGGAUCUCAGUUAUAAUGGUUUUGACAUCCCUAUUCCGAGUUUCUUUGGUUCCCUGCCAAACUUAGUUCACCUUGAUCUUUCUGGUUGUCAUUUUCAAGGAGCAAUUCCAGAUGAGCUUGGGAAUCUCUCCAAGCUAAGUUUUCUGGAUCUGUCCUAUAAUCAACUUGAAGGUAUGAUUUCAAACUCCGUUCGUAAUCUGUCAAGCUUGCAAACUGUUGAUUUCUCCCAAAACAAUCUCACUGGGAAUCUUCAAGAUCUCUUGUAUAUGUUGCCUGAGGCUACUUUACAGACAUUGUCGAUAUCUGAAAACCAACUUACUGGUUCACUGCCUGAUAUCACAGCAUUUUCAUUCCUCGAAGAAUUGCUUGUUGAUUACAAUCAGUUAAAUGGAUUUCUACCAAAAGAAUUCAAACACAAAUCAGUUUUGACAAUCCUGUCUUUGUCGAAUAAUUACCUCAGAGGUUCUUUACCUGAUUUCUCAGGAUUUUCAUUCUUACAAGGUUUAUAUCUUAAUGAUAAUAAAUUUUCUGGGAGUGUUCCUGAUUUUGAUGGAUGUUCGGCGUUAGAAUCCUUGUAUCUUCCUGGGAAUCAAUUGACUGGCUGGGAAACUCAAUCAAUAGGACAACUCACUAAUCUUGUUCGGCUAGAUCUUUCAAGGAAUUCAAUCAACAGUACAAUUAAUGAACAUCACUUGUCGGAACUUUACAAUUUGAACCAGAUGAAUGCAUCAUUUAAUUCUUUGACAUUCAAUAUGAGUUCCGAUUGGCUCCCCCCUUUCAAACUUGACCAUCUUUUGUUGGCAUCAUGCAAGUUGGGGCCAAAAUUUCCCAUUUGGAUCCGAAAUCAAACUGAAAUUAGUCUUCUUGAUUUCUCAAGCACCCAAAUUUCAGAUACCAUCCCCAUGUGGUUCUGGGACAACUUUACCAAGAUCAUUAAAUUAGAUCUCUCUUCCAACAAAAUCAGUGGCACGUUGUCCUCCAUACCAUUACAUAUUGAUGAGAUAAAUUUGAGUUCUAAUUACUUUGAAGGACCGUUACCACGCAUUCCCACAAUUUGUUCGGAAAUUAAUCUCUCUCAUAAUAAUUUUUCAGGAGAACUAGUAUUAUCUGCAGCUGAAGUCAUGAGUUUGAGGUUUCUUGAUCUUUCUCAUAAUUUAUUGUUUGGCGAGAUUCCCGAUAGUUGGAAAUACUUUGAAGAUCUCAUAUUUCUCAAUCUAGGAAAUAACAACUUUUCGGGUAGAAUUCCUAUGUCCAUAAGGUAUCUACAUUCUCUCAAUAAAUUGAUUUUACGAAAUAACAAGUUGUACGGAGAAUUUCCUGAGUCUUUAAGAAAUUGCACCGAACUUGGUUUUGUCGAUGUUGGUCUAAAUGGCCUAUCUGGAACUGUGCCAGCAUGGAUUGGGAAAGACCUACCACAGCUGUAUGCUCUGGUUUUGAAAUCCAAUAAAUUUUAUGGGAGCCUGCCUGAUGAUCUGUGUUAUCUCUCACAUCUUCAUUUUCUAGACCUGUCCAUGAACAGACUUUCAGGAAAUGUUCCUCAAUGCUUCAGCCGUCUAAUUGCUAUGACUAAUAAUGGAACUGGUACAACAGAUCAUCACAACAAUCGUAUACUUUCGGCAUCUUCAGAU
RNAcentral lists this long non-coding RNA (23689 nucleotides) under Daucus carota (carrot). RNAcentral's name for it is "long non-coding RNA (DCAR_LNC005396)". Lineage: Eukaryota; Viridiplantae; Streptophyta; Magnoliopsida; Apiales; Apiaceae. The record is from RNAcentral.